CGGACUCGAGGCUCGGCGCAGGGGCUCCUACUGGCGGCGAGGGUGGGCCCGGAGCCAGUGCGAGCGGAGACGGAGCCAAAGACGGAGACUUCACGGCGGGAGCAGGAGCUGGAACCGGAGCUGCAAGCGGCGCCGGUGGUGGAACGGCAGGAGGUGGAGUUGCGGGUGGUGGUGUGGCCGGUGGUGGAGAAGCCGGAGGAGGAGAUGCUGGAGGAGGAGAUGCCGGUGGUGGGGAGGCUGGUGGGGGAGUUGCAGGAGGUGGGGUGGCGGGCGGGGGAGAUGAUACGGGAGGAGGAGUGGAAACUGGGGGUGGUGCCGCGGUGACGGGGGGUGGUGCAGAGGUGGGAGGAGGGGUGGUUGGUGGAGAAGGUGGUGGGUUGUUGUUGGGUGGUGGAGUUGUGGGGGUUGCCGGUGGAGCAGGGGUGCUGGUGGUGGGUGACGUGGCAGGAGAUUGGCCUCCGACGCCGGCGAAGACAAUGCAGAUAAAGCCC
Molecule: long non-coding RNA, 491 nt
Filed under: Prunus persica (peach)
Lineage: Eukaryota; Viridiplantae; Streptophyta; Magnoliopsida; Rosales; Rosaceae
Description: long non-coding RNA (PPER_LNC008383)
Source: RNAcentral